CAACUUUGGCCGCAUCCACCGCUGACUUUUAUUUAAGUUUCAAGCUGCAAACAGAGCGGAGCGGAGCGGAGUUGAAAAGUGCACAAAUUAAUGAGCCCAGCAGAUGCCAAAGCAAUCACCCCGCGUCCCCUGGGAUCGUCAGUCGACUGACUCGAAAAACUUGGCUUCAAAUAUUAAUGUCAUGUCAAACAGCAAUUAUGCCAUGUAA
Molecule: long non-coding RNA, 208 nt
Organism: Drosophila simulans
Lineage: Eukaryota; Metazoa; Arthropoda; Insecta; Diptera; Drosophilidae
Exons: 2
Source: RefSeq, a predicted model, not a curated record